AGUGAACGCUGGCGGUAGGCCUAACACGUGCAAGUCGAACGGCAGCACAGUAAGAGCUUGCUCUUACGGGUGGCGAGUGGCGGACGGGUGAGGAAUACAUCGGAAUCUACUUUUUCGUGGGGGAUAACGUAGGGAAACUUACGCUAAUACCGCAUACGACCUACGGGUGAAAGCAGGGGAUCUUCGGACCUUGCGCGAUUGAAUGAGCCGAUGUCGGAUUAGCUAGUUGGCGGGGUAAAGGCCCACCAAGGCGACGAUCCGUAGCUGGUCUGAGAGGAUGAUCAGCCACACUGGAACUGAGACACGGUCCAGACUCCUACGGGAGGCAGCAGUGGGGAAUAUUGGACAAUGGGCGCAAGCCUGAUCCAGCCAUACCGCGUGGGUGAAGAAGGCCCUCGGGUUGUAAAGCCCUUUUGUUGGGAAAGAAAAGCAGCAGGUUAAUACCCCGCUGUUCUGACGGUACCCAAAGAAUAAGCACCGGCUAACUUCGUG
This 492-nucleotide ribosomal RNA is filed under the name uncultured bacterium. RNAcentral describes it as "partial 16S ribosomal RNA". It matches the Rfam family "Bacterial small subunit ribosomal RNA", at positions 29 to 507 of the family's 1533-position model. The record is from RNAcentral.